This 158-nucleotide ribosomal RNA is filed under the name uncultured bacterium. RNAcentral's name for it is "partial 16S ribosomal RNA". It matches the Rfam family "Bacterial small subunit ribosomal RNA", at positions 1343 to 1500 of the family's 1533-position model. The record is from RNAcentral.
GGCAGGUCAGCAUACUGCCGUGAAUACGUUCCCGGGCCUUGUACACACCGCCCGUCACACCAUGAGAGUUGGGAAUACCCGAAGCCUGUGAGCUAACAUUUAUGAGGCAGCAGUCGAAGGUAGAAUCAAUGAUUGGGGUGAAGUCGUAACAAGGUACC